UCCUGUGUGGUGGCACAGUUAACACGCUUGGCUGCUAACCAAAAGAUUGGAGGUUUGAGUCCACCUAGAGGUG
This 73-nucleotide transfer RNA is filed under the name Loxodonta africana (African savanna elephant). It matches the Rfam family "tRNA". From Rfam's summary of the family: Transfer RNA (tRNA) molecules are approximately 80 nucleotides in length. Their secondary structure includes four short double-helical elements and three loops (D, anti-codon, and T loops). Further hydrogen bonds mediate the characteristic L-shaped molecular structure. tRNAs have two regions of fundamental functional importance: the anti-codon, which is responsible for specific mRNA codon recognition, and the 3' end, to which the tRNAs corresponding amino acid is attached (by aminoacyl-tRNA synthetases). tRNAs cope with the degeneracy of the genetic code in two manners: having more than one tRNA (with a specific anti-codon) for a particular amino acid; and 'wobble' base-pairing, i.e. permitting non-standard base-pairing at the 3rd anti-codon position. Lineage: Eukaryota; Metazoa; Chordata; Mammalia; Proboscidea; Elephantidae. The record is from Rfam by way of RNAcentral.